RNAcentral lists this ribosomal RNA (253 nucleotides) under uncultured bacterium. Its description in RNAcentral is "partial 16S ribosomal RNA". It matches the Rfam family "Bacterial small subunit ribosomal RNA", at positions 524 to 776 of the family's 1533-position model. The record is from RNAcentral.
UACGAAGGGUGCGAGCGUUAAUCGGAAUUACUGGGCGUAAAGGGCUCGUAGGCGGCCAACUAAGUCAUACGUGAAAUCCCUCAGCUUAACUGGGGAACUGCGUGUGAUACUGGAUGGCUUGGAUUUGGGAGAGGGAUGCGGAAUUCCAGGUGUAGCGGUGAAAUGCGUAGAUAUCUGGAGGAACACCGGUGGCGAAGGCGGCAUCCUGGACCAAUAUUGACGCUGAGGAGCGAAAGCCAGGGGAGCAAACGGG